This 828-nucleotide long non-coding RNA is filed under the name Anser cygnoides (Swan goose). RNAcentral describes it as "lncRNA (ENSACDG00005012561.1)". Lineage: Eukaryota; Metazoa; Chordata; Aves; Anseriformes; Anatidae. The record is from RNAcentral.
CUUUAUGGGUGAAGGCCAGAUUCCCUGGCAGGUGUGAAUUGGCAUAUCUCUGCUGAAAUCACAGAACUGCUGUGUUACAUCAGUUUGAGAGUCUGGACCUAUUUCCUGAGCUAUUUUUGUCUUGCCCCUAAAAUCAAUUCCUUGAAGGCUAAGACAACUGAAGAAAGGAAAUGACUCCCUACUACUGGGAUAUCAGCUAUCACAUAGGAUCUUGUCCAGUCUAAGACAUUUAGGUUCUACUCUAUUGUAAAUUAUAAAACAUAAGUAUAUAAUGUGAAAAAUGUAGGAAAUGAAACAAAUAAAAAAAAUAUUACAUGACUUCAAAACUACAGUUCAGUGACUUUUCUUCAGUUUGGACUAUUUCAAAUAAUCUGGAGGUUCAGCAAUCAAUGCUGCUUUUGAGGUUCUUAUCAGCUGAAUGAAUUUAGUAAAGUACAAGACAAAAUUAUUGAUUGCGUUGCUUCAGAAGCUACUGGAAACCUGGUCAGAGGCUUGAAUGUCACCUGAAAAUGAAACUUGGCUUUUAUAAUCUGAUUUAGGGCUUGAAAUAUUUUAGUUUGUGUGUCUUGCAUUUAAUCCACCUUAUUGAUUUAAUAAUACCUUAAAACGUUUACUCAUUUCCUUUAGUCUCUGUAGUUUUAGACAAAAACUGGAAGAAAACCUGUCUGUGGUUGAAACUAUAAAGCACACUGGUUCAAAGCGAAACUGUAGUUCAUACAUCAACAUGGAAUUGGAAUGUGCUUGUUAAGACUCUCACAAUAGCUGACAUUGGCCUUUAUUAUUAAUUAUUAUUGUUGUUGUUGUUGCUGUUUUUAUUAUUAUUUUCCU